CCCGUAAGGCUAAAUACUCUCUAGUGACCGAUAGUGAACAAGUACCGUGAGGGAAAGGUGAAAAGAACCCCGGGAGGGGAGUGAAAUAGAAAACUGAAACCAUGUGCUUACAAAAAGUCAGAGCCCGUUAAUGGGUGAUGGCGUGCCUUUUGCAGAAUGAACCGGCGAGUUAUUGUAUCAUGCGAGGUUAAGGUGAAGAGCCGGAGCCGAAGCGAAAGCGAGUCUGAAUAGGGCGAACUAGUAUGGUGCAAUAGACCCGAAACCGAGUGAUCUAUCCAUGGGCAGGUUGAAGGUUUGGUAACACAAACUGGAGGACCGAACCGACUUACUAGGAAAUGUGAGCGGAUGACCUGUGGAUAGCGGUGAAAUUCCAAACGAACUCGGAUAUAGCUGGUUCUCCCCGAAAUAGGUUUAGGCCUAGCGUUCUAUGAAUCACUCUGGAGGUAGAGCACUGAAUACACAAUGGCGGCAUCUAGCUGUACUGAGUGUAAUCAAACUCCGAAUGCCAGAGAAAGAGUGUAGAGCAGUCAGUGUAUGGGUGAUAACGUCCAUACGCAAGAGGAAAAGAAUCCAGAUCGCCAACUAAGGUCCCAAAAUAUAUGCUAAGUGGGAAAGGAUGUGGAGUUGUCAAAACAGCUAGGAGGUUGGCUUAGAAGCAGCCAUCCUUUAAAGAGUGCGUAAUAGCUCACUAGUCGAGUGACACUGCGCCGAAGAUGUACCGGGGCUAAGCAUAUUACCGAAGUUGCGAAUUGUGUAGAUAAUACACAGUGGUAGGGGAGCGUUCCAACAGGGAAGAAGGUCGAUCGAGAGGACGGCUGGACUGGUUGGAAGUGAGAAUGCCGGUAUGAGUAGCGCAAGAUGGGUGAGAAUCCCAUCCACCGUUUGCCUAAGGGUUCCUGGGGAAGGUUCGUCCUCCCAGGGUAAGUCAGGACCUAAGACGAGGCCGAAAGGCGUAGCCGAUGGACAACAGGUUUAUAUUCCUGUACUACUUAUAUGACAGAUGGAGUGACGGAGAAGGCUAGGACGAUCCAGUGAAUGGAUUCUGGUCUAAGCACAAAGGCUUGUAUAUAGGCAAAUCCGUAUACAGACAAGCUGAAGUGUGAUGGGGAAGGUACAAGAGUACUGAACUCGUCUGACGCCAAGCUUCCAAGAAAAGCUUCUAUGGUUAAUCAUAUAGGUACCUGUACCGAGAACCGACACAGGUGGGCAAGGAGAGUAUCCUAAGGUGAGCGAGAGAACUAUGGUUAAGGAACUCGGCAAAAUGACUCCGUAACUUCGGGAGAAGGAGUGAUCAAGCGAUUGAUCCGCAGUGAAUAGGCCCAGGCGACUGUUUACCAAAAACACAGGUCUCUGCAAAGUCGUAAGACGAAGUAUAGGGGCUGACGCCUGCCCAGUGCUGGAAGGUUAAGAGGAGAGCUAAGCUGAACGUAAGUUGAUAUGCGAAGGUUCGAAUUGAAGCCCCAGUGAACGGCGGCCGUAACUAUAACGGUCCUAAGGUAGCGAAAUUCCUUGUCAGGUAAG
RNAcentral lists this ribosomal RNA (1521 nucleotides) under mouse gut metagenome. Its description in RNAcentral is "bacterial LSU rRNA". It matches the Rfam family "Bacterial large subunit ribosomal RNA", at positions 457 to 1980 of the family's 2925-position model. The record is from RNAcentral.